RNAcentral lists this ribosomal RNA (482 nucleotides) under uncultured bacterium. RNAcentral describes it as "partial 16S ribosomal RNA". It matches the Rfam family "Bacterial small subunit ribosomal RNA", at positions 30 to 507 of the family's 1533-position model. The record is from RNAcentral.
AUUGAACGCUGGCGGCAUGCUUUACACAUGCAAGUCGAACGGUAACAGGCCGCAAGGUGCUGACGAGUGGCGAACGGGUGAGUAAUGCAUCGGAACGUGCCCAGUCGUGGGGGAUAACUACUCGAAAGAGUAGCUAAUACCGCAUACGAUCUAUGGAUGAAAGCGGGGGACCGUAAGGCCUCGCGCGAUUGGAGCGGCCGAUGUCAGAUUAGGUAGUUGGUGGGGUAAAGGCUCACCAAGCCAACGAUCUGUAGCUGGUCUGAGAGGACGACCAGCCACACUGGGACUGAGACACGGCCCAGACUCCUACGGGAGGCAGCAGUGGGGAAUUUUGGACAAUGGGCGCAAGCCUGAUCCAGCAAUGCCGCGUGCAGGAAGAAGGCCUUCGGGUUGUAAACUGCUUUUGUACGGAACGAAACUGCUCUGGUUAAUACCCGGGGCUAAUGACGGUACCGUAAGAAUAAGCACCGGCUAACUACGUG